GUCAAGCACCCUAUGUGUGUGGUACAGAUGUUUUUUGUAAUUUCUAUUCUCCACAUAGGAAAACUAGUACACACAGCUGUCACUGCCCAGAUCCUCGGCUAGUAGGUGAGACUGUCAGAAUCCAAGGCAGGCAGGCUGACUCCAUCACUGAUUCUCCUAACUACAGUGCUCUAGUGUGCCCGCCACGCCACUCUGGAGCUGAACUAGCUCCACAGAGGAUCAAACACCACAGCCCUCUGCCUCUGGAAGCCUCAUUAGGGGCUCCCAGGGAAAUAGUAGCCAUGCUGUUGGGGGGGUCCCCCUGCCCCUCCACUCAAGAUUCCUGGCCGUAUCCCAGUCCCUCAUUCUAGCUGCAUCCCACAUAAACUACUUUGAAGACACUGCCAGAGUGUAUCUAGAGGAGUCCUAGGGAGAAAGCCCAGACAGACCCCCAUUCUCAGUACAGCAAGUGCUACCUCACCAUGACCCCCAAAAAUCCACCUGCUGAUCCCUUCCUGGGACCAACUCUCUUCUUAUGCAGUUCUGAGGCCCCUCAACCUUUCUGAAUAGGCAAAGUCCUUUCAGAAGCCACCUAAAUAGCCACUCCCUUUUUCGUCUCAUCUUCCUGCAUUAACUCCAGGGACUCUGAGAUGGGGGCAGGGGUAGUUUCCAGGAAAAGGUUUCUCUUCCUACAGAAAUUAAAAAACAAACAAACAAAAA
RNAcentral lists this long non-coding RNA (699 nucleotides) under Rattus norvegicus (Norway rat). Its description in RNAcentral is "long non-coding RNA NONRATT029495". The record is from RNAcentral. Lineage: Eukaryota; Metazoa; Chordata; Mammalia; Rodentia; Muridae.